AGGCCGACUGGUGGGACUUCACGCAUCGUCUCGUCCGAUUUCUUUCUCGAUCAAACGCCACCAAAAAAAUCUGAGAAAAUUCGAGGAGGGGCGCGGAUAUUGGCGCAUCCUCGUGAGAAAUUCCAGUCUAGAUCGCUGGCGGGGUAGAGGGAGUAGCGAAAAUGAGAAAAAAAUACGUUGCGAUUUUCAUCUAAUCGAGCCGUCCUCUCCAUCUGGAUCUGAAUUCUGUGUUCUAUGAGCGCCAGAGCAUAUAUGCCCUAGUAGAAACGAUGCAGGCGAGGCUUCCGGGGUUCGUUCUGCUUUGAAUUCCGCCUCGAUAAGGCCUAGUUGCUUGCUUCAGGUGAAAGCACCACGAAGGGACUGGUUUAAUUUGUCUGGUGGUUCUGGAUAUGAACAAGUUAAGGGAAUAAGUUUGCCCAAGCAUCACCAAUAUGCAGAAGUUUCUGAGAAAAACUGAAAAACUGGACCUUAGCUCAGGAACACUGGAUCCAGGCACUAGAGGUCACCUGUCCAGGUUGUGCUGGUUUUCUGUCCAUUGUUUUGUCUGAACAAAUGGAGAACACACACUAUCUGGGGAAAUAAAUGAGUUGCAGAUCAAGAGAUACUACAACAUCAGUGACUCUGAUCAUGUUAUCAAUCCGAAUUUCCCUCUGAUUUUGUCAAAACUGCUUAAGCUAACUUGUUGAGAUGCUUAGCUCGCCUAACUAUUUGUUUUCUGCCUGAUGACAUGAGGUGUGAUGGUGAACUGCUCAGGGUCAGUCUCAACUUGCCACUCAAGAAGGGUACAGGUGUCGAGCUGCAGUAGGAAAAGGGCCCACGGUAUCAGAAUCAGCUCAACCAAGGACUGAGAGGUGGGCCCAACCUUGCCACGUGGGUGCAUGUGGCUCGUAGACGUGCACUUGCACAGCAUGGUAUGUGGGGCCAGACCAGGAAUAUAUAUGGGCAUAUGGCGUAUCAGUUUCAGAAGCUUUGAAAGGUUGGACCUACUAAUUGUGCAAUCAGUGUACCAUUCGCUUUGGCCCUGAUUAAUCACAGGACAAAUGGAUCAACCUACAGCCCGGGAGAAAGCAGAAAGCAUCAUGCAUUUCCAGGAACCGAUUAUUCGGAUUCAGAUGCCUCUAAGGUUCGAAAAGCCAUGAUUGCAGCAGCAAACAGACAUCAAAAUUUUGAUUCGGAGAAUGCAGUUAGUCAACAGCAAUGUGCGGAUGGUCCAAGAGAUUGAAAUGUUCAGAGCGACGCAGCCCAGAAAAUGAUUUCAGAAUGGCCAUGUUUUGGCCGUUCGUCCACCGUAAACAAGCAGCCAAACUGGAAUUACUUGCACCUUCAGAGACGGCGACAUCAUCCUGCAGGGGACAAGCAGCGGCUUCUGGAUCAUCACGGGAGCUAGCAGAGCUUGAGGGAGACUUGCCACAUACCAACAAAUGGCCCAUGCCCCUACUGCCCCACCAUUACUAUUGUUUAUUUUGUCUAAUUGUUUACACUGCACAUAACCACAUACUGAUUUUUCUCCAUUUUAGAAUCUUGGGCUGAAGAACGGCUGCAGAAACCAUUUUUAUUUCUGAAGGGAAGGCAAGGUGCUAUGACAGUCUCUUCUACUAGUGGUGUAUGUGUAUCUCCGGAAAAGAGAAUCGAAUCUGGUCAUCACCAUGUCCAUUCAUUCCAAGACAAGGUAAAAAGGUCUAGAAGGCAACCCCUGAGGGCAAGUACUACGAGUCUCUACACAUUGCUUCUAAAUUUACCAUAUAAGAUUAGAUGAUGAGGUGGAGGAGAGGAGUUAGGAGAGAGAGAAUGAGCCACUCCUCAUGCAAGGGGCAACCUCUACACAAUAUCCAAGAAAAGUACAAGAUGAUGUGAGAGUAGAUUAAUAUUGGGGUUUGUGUAUUAGAUGUGAUAUGUUUUAUGUGUUGCCUCUUAAGUAAUGAGAAGAUGACAUGAUCUAAAUUAGAUGUGACAUCCACCUCCACUAUAAAACUUGCCCUCAAGCCCUGUGAACUUCCUCCCUUUUUUAGGCUAUCUUGAUCUCAUGAGGUCCUUAUUUUCUUUAGUAGUUUUUAUAUUUUUCUCCUUAACAAAUCUGACUUCUGGAUACACAUAUGCAAAAAAAAAAAUAUUUGCUUAUUUCUUAGUAGCUUUGUGAUAUUCUCCUUAACAAAUCUGACAUCUUUAUACACACAUGAAAAAAAAGAGAUAAUUAUUCUUAUUUGCUUCGGGUGAACAAGUCAGUACAAUGUAACUUAAUAUAGAGAUUCAUAUGUGCAAUAGAAGUGGACUAAAAUACUAAAAAUACACUAACUAGUAUUUAAAUUUUACACCUGUCUUUCAUGGCUAGUAAGUUGCAAGCACCGAUGUAUCUCACCUGGAGCUUUACGUGAUGUGAAAUAGUAGUCAUUCCAUCUGUUUUUUCUUAUAAAACGCGAUAAACCCAGCCUCUAAAUUUAACAGGAUGUACAUGGCCAAUACACGAGCGCAUAGUCUCCAAACACCUUACACAAGGUCCAAACAACCAUUAGCCCAACAUGAUACAAAUACCACUAAACUUACUCUUAACUUCAAAAGUUUGCAACCCUCUUUCACUGGUUGCUAUCAUCUUCGAUUAAGACCAUUGCCUCGCCCAAUAGGUCCUUUUGAAGAUAACCUGCAAAAAUAACUUAAUCUUGAAGCCAUUGAACACCAAUUAUUUCUAGAGGUCUAAAUAGCUCAACACAAUGCCGCAAUUCUCACAAAGAAUUGAUAUUUAGCCAAUUACCAAAAAAGUUAGCGGCAAUAGUAGGCGGUUCGAGCCAAAAGCUAUGCAUACGGCCUUCCAAAUACCUCUGGCAAUUUGGCAAUCGAAAAAUAUAUGUUGUGUUGUCUCAUUAGAAUAAAAAACAAUGGUUAAUGCUACCUUUCCAUCUCUUUUCACUAAAAUUGUUAUCUUUAGUUGACACAACCGCUAUCUGUUAAGUAUCAAAGGCAUUCAAUCAGUAUACUCAUUUCGUCCUAAAAUAAACUAACCUAAUAUAGAAUAUAACAUUUUCUAUUACAACGAAUUUGUUUUGGUAUGUUCAGAUUUAUUUUACUAUGAAAUGUUCUAUUUUAUCUUAGAAUCAUUUGUUCUUGGGACGUGAGGGUAUGUUAACGGCUAGCGUCCAUGCGUACUUUUAUGCGACGUCACAGCACACAUGGGCAUCUCUAUCUAUGUUCGUUUUUAGGACACGUGCAUCUCCAUUGAUCACAGCAAUUAAAGGCUGCCUAAUCGAUCAUCAACUGUUGUCAUUGAACCCUAGCGUGACGGAACAGAAUGAAUAGGACGUUGUACAAGAAACGAGUGUGCUAAUGAAGAUUGAAGCACCUCAUGUUAGGCAACAUCACCGCGAACAACUCAACUACUAACUAUUCUUGGUUGACACAGGCACAUUUUUAACUAUUUGCUGAUUAACCGUGGUUUAUUUACCAUAAGUUGCAGCAAGCUCCGUGUAGUCCCGGUUGGCAACCCCUUUGUAGUCCCGGAUUUUCAACCGGGACUAUGAAUCCGGGACUAAAGAUCACUAUCUUUAGUCCCGGUUGAAAUAAUAACCGGGACUAAAGAUAGCAGCACAGUCCCGGUUGGUCACCAUUUUUUUCUUUUUUUUAUUUUCAUUGUUUCUUUCCAAAUAGUUGCUCCUUCCCAAAUCUCCCCAAAUAUCCCAAAUAUCCCAAAAUCAAAGUAUCAUCCUCAAAUCAAUGAAUCAUUCACAUCACAAAUUCUCAAAAAACUACAACUCAAAUUCUUAAAGAAAUACAUCACAGAUCCAAUGAAUCACAAGUUCUUAGAUCCAAAUGUAUCAAAAAUUCGGGAAAAAAAAAGAAAAUUGUGCUUCCGCUGCCGCCUCCCCCCUCCGGCAGAGGAGAGGGCGCCACCGGCCGCCAGCUCCCGCCAUCGCCGCGCUCCCUGCCGCCCGCGGCCCGCCGCCAGCCGCCGCCCGGGCACGCUCUGGUAGAGGAGGAGGAGGAGGAGGAGGAGGAGAGGGGAAGGGGAGAGGGGAGAGGAGAAGACUCUGUGGCAUAAUGCCAAAUCCGAUCUGAGGUUGUCGUUUAUGAGAGCUAGGGAGUAGAGAGAGAGGAAGGGGAUGGAACGAUAAG
This is a long non-coding RNA of Oryza sativa Japonica Group (Japanese rice), 4101 nucleotides long. RefSeq lists it as uncharacterized. Lineage: Eukaryota; Viridiplantae; Streptophyta; Magnoliopsida; Poales; Poaceae. The record is from RefSeq and is a predicted model, not a curated record.